UACGAAGGGGGCUAGCGUUGUUCGGAAUUACUGGGCGUAAAGCGUGCGCAGGCGGUUUUCCAAGUCAGUGGUGAAAGCCCGGAGCUCAACUCCGGAACUGCCAUUGAAACUGUGAGACUAGAGUACGAGAGAGGUGAGUGGAAUUCCCAGUGUAGAGGUGAAAUUCGUAGAUAUUGGGAAGAACACCGGUGGCGAAGGCGGCUCACUGGCUCGUUACUGACGCUCAGGCACGACAGCGUGGGGAUCAAACAGG
This 253-nucleotide ribosomal RNA is filed under the name uncultured bacterium. RNAcentral describes it as "partial 16S ribosomal RNA". It matches the Rfam family "Bacterial small subunit ribosomal RNA", at positions 524 to 776 of the family's 1533-position model. The record is from RNAcentral.